This 482-nucleotide ribosomal RNA is filed under the name uncultured bacterium. RNAcentral describes it as "partial 16S ribosomal RNA". It matches the Rfam family "Bacterial small subunit ribosomal RNA", at positions 30 to 507 of the family's 1533-position model. The record is from RNAcentral.
AUUGAACGCUGGCGGCAUGCUUUACACAUGCAAGUCGAACGGUAACAGGCCGCAAGGUGCUGACAGGUGGCGAACGGGUGAGUAAUGCAUCGGAACGUGCCCAGUCUUGGGGGAUAACUACUCGAAAGAGUAGCUAAUACCGCAUACGAUCUAUGGAUGAAAGCGGGGGACCGUAAGGCCUCGCGCGAUUGGAGCGGCCGAUGUCAGAUUAGGUAGUUGGUGGGGUAAAGGCUCACCAAGCCAACGAUCUGUAGCUGGUCUGAGAGGACGACCAGCCACACUGGGACUGAGACACGGCCCAGACUCCUACGGGAGGCAGCAGUGGGGAAUUUUGGACAAUGGGCGCAAGCCUGAUCCAGCAAUGCCGCGUGCAGGAAGAAGGCCUUCGGGUUGUAAACUGCUUUUGUACGGAACGAAACGGCUCUGGUUAAUACCCGGGGCUAAUGACGGUACCGUAAGAAUAAGCACCGGCUAACUACGUG